Molecule: long non-coding RNA, 3895 nt
Organism: Mangifera indica (mango)
Lineage: Eukaryota; Viridiplantae; Streptophyta; Magnoliopsida; Sapindales; Anacardiaceae
Exons: 7
Source: RefSeq, a predicted model, not a curated record
UAUUAUUUUUCAAAAUCACUCCGUCUACACUAUUGUCACAAAAGUGGCGAAACCUAAGAAAUAGUAGUAGAUGAAGAAGCGGUAAAAUCGGAGGGUCUCGAAAUCACUUCCAUUGGAUCUCUAAACAAAGGCUCCUGGGAGAAGAAGUACUGGAGCUCCUCUAGGGUUUGAUAUCCAAUUGUCUACUUGCUUAAUCAAUUCCUAGCUUUAAAUUUAAAUUUCGCCUUUUGUUUCACAAAUGAUGUGUCAGAUUUGUCUGUUAGGUUGUUGUUACCGAUAAUUUAAAUAGAUGAGAACAAAACAUAUUUAUAUUCAAAUCUUUACAAUUGCUUGUUUGAUAGUUAAUGUUGUAAUUAUAAUUGAUGCCUGAGAUGCUUGUUAUAUUGCAUAAGCAAAUAGAUUAUGUAUGAAAAAAGGAGAUGUUCUUUGAAGGAAAAACCGUUUGAAAUGUGUUUGGAUUUUACAUUGAAGCCCUAAAAUUAAAAAAAAUUUGCAUGGGUUGCUGGGAGGACGAAAUUUGAGUUUGAAAUUGAUAAGGAAACUAGAAAUUCCUUUGCUUUAGGAGAAUCAAACUGGGAAGAAAUUGAACUUUUGGAACUAAUUAUUUAAAGAAAAGAUUUCUAAAGCAGCAAACCUGUUCUUAACAUGGCUGGGAGUUUCAUUCAUUGGGUCUUUGUAACUUAAACUAUGGUCUUUCAUUGUAAUUCUUCUGCCUGUUGUUGGGCCAGUGUCCUAUUUCGAAUGUCCAAAUGAACAAGAUCUUAAGGCCUGAACGAGCUUCAAGUUAAUUUGUUCAAAAAGAUGAGACUUAUUAUUAAAUUGGCAAUAAGGAUCUUUCCUGAAGAUGAUGGACCAUUGCUCUUGGCGAAAAUGGAACCCAUUAUGAUUGUUUUAUGCUGUAUGCUAUUUACUCCAUCUUUUUAUGUCAAUUGGGUGUUGGUUGCAUCUUGUUCUUUUAUAAGGGAGAGAUCGCUACCCUUUCCCAGUGGGAUACCAUACUUUUCGAGUUCAUAAUGGAAAUACCUGCAAGAUCAAAGUUCAUGAAGGUCAUAAAGGGCCUUUAUUUGUGAUCACUUCUGCUGAUGGCCUUCAUGUUCUGGGAAAACUCUAGAUAUUGCUUGGAAUAAGUUACAGAAGAAAUAUUGGCCCCGCAUGAAGACAUCAUGGAAAGAUACCUUCAUGGAAGAUAGAUGUCCUGGAGCCAUCAGCACCUCAUUGAUGCUUACAUAGAGGUGGCAGACAUGGCUAAGGUUGAACUUUGCCAGUGAGGUUUUCUACUGAAGUUUGAAACUGUUGUCAAGAGCCUAUUAUGUAGCAUUUUGUUUGAAUUAUGCAACCAAGCAAGUAGCUUCUCUUUUGCAGUUUCUGUUUUUCGGGUUAAAAAAUUCAUUUGUCCAGAGGUUACUUCAUGAAUUGGUGGCAAAUGUCAAUGGAACAGCAGAAAGGAGCUUAUUAUCUUCCAGCAUAUACAACGGAGUGCCCAGAAGAGACCAUGAUAAAUAUACAGAUGCAUGCAUAUAUCUGAUUUAUGGUCAGACAUUGUGAGAACAAAAUUACAAAGAAGAGAAGUAGAUGCAAAAUUAAAAAUACAAAGCCAGUUGGCAGGAAUGGCCUUAAAAAACCUCAAUCUCAAGGCUGGCAAAUCAAUUAUGAGGCUACAAGCUCAGCACAAUUAAAUCAGAGGAUUAAUAAGCAUGGAAGUUCUAUGCCUCUUUCUGCUUCAAGAGAAGGGAACGACUUUCAUAAAAUAUCAAGGAGCUUUGUCAGCAGCAUAGCACCUAGAUUUCAAAACAGCUGAGGGGAAAAAUGAUUACCUUUUGGCUAAAGACAGUUUUCCUGUAGUAUCCGUUGACUUUUCUGCUCAUCUCUCUGAGGGAACUAUUCCAGCUGAAUAAAUGAACAAAGUUGUGGGCUCUGAAAUUGGUAAAUCCACUAGAGUGACCAAGAACUUGUUGAAGAGGGAAAACCUCUAUAUAGUAGCAGCAGAAGAUAAAGCAGGAGAUGCACCAGUCCCAAAUGACUCUUGGUGCAGAAACUAUUAAUCUCUGUGCUGCUGAUGCUUUAGAUUCUGUGCAAGGUGUACCUUAUGCAAUGUUAUUUGUACUCCUUAGAUAAUAGUGCACAUUCCUGACCAGCUACCCAGGGUAAAAGUACCUACAAUCUUGAAGAAGACUUUACUACAGCCAACACUGUCAUUCCUGAAGAAUUGGCGACUGUUUCACAUCCAAAAGAAGAAAUAGACACAUUUAAGUCAAGGGCAAAUUCUGGAAAGAGUGAUUCUGAUUCAAUUGGCAGAAAUUGCCACUGCUCUGAUGACAGUUCUACUUCCACAAGCAAUUCCUCUGUUUCUGAAUCUUUGUCUUGUAGGGUAGAGUGAGUCCCAAGAAGAAUGAUGAAACUAGCCACUUUGUGAAUGCUUCAUUUCCAGCUGCAAUGCUAUCUAAGUAGACCAAUGAGGAAAUGGAAGAAAAGAUGCCAAUCCCCCAAAUAAAUCUUGGUUCAUUUCCAAGUUUUGAACAUCCCAUGUCUGUUGUUCUUGACAGUUUUGAAGAUGAUAUAUGUGGUGACCAUAGAACUAUCCAAAAGCUUUGUCUUCCAAGACUUUGGAACCUGAUCAAACUGGCACUGAUAAAUAUAAAAAUCAUUUGACCACUUAGAGAAGAGGAUGUUGUAGGGGUGAAGUGAAAAUGAGGCGGAGAAUGCGGGGAUUUUUACCCCAACCUCACAGGCCUAAAUGCCAAGAAUAUUCGAAACAUUAUUCAAGAGGUGUUGUGAGAGGCUCAAGGUGGUGCACUAGGCAGUACAAGUGUGCCCAUUGUAGCACUGCUAACAAAUGUAGCUCCAAAUGGGACAUUUGGGAAGAGAGAAAUAACACUGGUUGUGGGUCAAAUUCAGGUGCAUUCCGUUUUGGACUUCGAGCAUGACAUUUUUUUUUCUUAAAACAGAAGUCAUUGAGACAAUGAUUAAAGCCAGCUUCACUCUAUCAUUGGUCAACAUGCCCUUCAACCCUUUUUUACUUUUAUAAAGAGACUUUUUGGUUGACUUUAGAGGGAAUUAGGUACUAUUAUCUACUGCUAAAGUCAAUUUGGGGUGUGGUUCAAACUCAUUUGAGAAACCAUAGUUCAUUAUCUAAUUACUCUAUUUGCACUAAACCCGAUCACGGUCCUAACAAACACCGAAGUUGUCACCUUGGCCUUGAGCCCUUCAUUCUUCACGAACCUCUCCAAACUCACCAACAUCCUUUCCAACCUUCCGGCAUCUAAAUUUGGUGCCACCUUCCUCAUUUUUGCGAGGCAUAGCGCCACACUGCAAUAAGAAUCGAGUUAUACACAAUCUUUAAAUUGCAGUUUUGGUGUGAUAAAACUUUCCAAAGACAUAGAGAGCGUCCGCAAAGUCGAUGAAGUAGCGGUUCAUGACGAGGAUGAGAAUCAGUGAGAUCUUGAGUAUCAAAGCACCAUCAGUGUAGAAUCGAAGCAUAUUAGAGCUCGCUCUUUGACAAAUUACUCAGUCAUGUAUUCAGUCACAAAGACCUAUGUUUCUUUUCCCUUGCCCUCAUGGUCUUUUCCUCUCAGUUAUUUCCCUCUUUUUAAUUCACACUGUUCUAAAUCUCACCGUCUUACUCUCUCUCUUCACUCACCCUAAGAAACCCCCACACCCCCCCUCCCCCUCCCCCCUUUCCCCUUCCCUUUCCUUAAAACCUCAAUUCACAUGUAUUAGCAUCAACUAAUAAUCAUCAACCUUUGACGAUGUUUUGUCACAUACAUUAGCCAUCUUGAAGGCAAUGACCUAGCCCUUAUACAACGUCAAUGUGGUCACAAGAAAAGGAGGCACAACAUGUAGCAUAAAACCACUAUUUCACUCGAGUGGACCCUUAAUGAACAAUCAAUUUCUUGAA